RNAcentral lists this ribosomal RNA (253 nucleotides) under uncultured bacterium. RNAcentral describes it as "partial 16S ribosomal RNA". It matches the Rfam family "Bacterial small subunit ribosomal RNA", at positions 524 to 776 of the family's 1533-position model. The record is from RNAcentral.
UACGUAGGGGGCGAGCGUUGUCCGGAUUUACUGGGCGUAAAGAGCGCGCAGGCGGUCAAUCAAGUCGAGUGUGAAAGCCCCCGGCUCAACUGGGGAGGGUCACGCGAUACUGCUUGACUCGAAGGCGGGAGAGGGAAGUGGAAUUCCCGGUGUAGUGGUGAAAUGCGUAGAUAUCGGGAGGAACACCAGUGGCGAAGGCGACUUCCUGGCCCGUUCUUGACGCUGAGGCGCGAAAGCUAGGGGAGCAAACGGG